Molecule: transfer RNA, 74 nt
Filed under: Culex quinquefasciatus (southern house mosquito)
Lineage: Eukaryota; Metazoa; Arthropoda; Insecta; Diptera; Culicidae
Rfam family: tRNA
About the family: Transfer RNA (tRNA) molecules are approximately 80 nucleotides in length.
Source: Rfam by way of RNAcentral
GCCCGUGUGGAUCAAUCGGACUGCGCACUGGACUCACAAUUCAGAAAUCGCUGGUUCGAAUCCCGCGGCGGGCG